RNAcentral lists this ribosomal RNA (355 nucleotides) under uncultured bacterium. Its description in RNAcentral is "bacterial SSU rRNA". It matches the Rfam family "Bacterial small subunit ribosomal RNA", at positions 22 to 356 of the family's 1533-position model. The record is from RNAcentral.
GCUCAGGAUGAACGCUGGCGGCGUGCUUAACACAUGCAAGUCGAACGAAGAUACUUAAAAAGAGAGCUUCGGCAGGAUUUUUAUUUAUCUUAGUGGCGGACGGGUGAGUAACGUGUGGGCAACCUGCCCUAUACUGGGGAAUAAUCACUGGAAACGGUGACUAAUACCGCAUGUCAUCACGAGAAGGCAUCUUUUUGUGAGAAAAGGAGUAAUUCGGUAUAGGAUGGGCCCGCAUCUGAUUAGCUAGUUGGUGAGAUAACAGCCCACCAAGGCGACGAUCAGUAGCCGACCUGAGAGGGUGAUCGGCCACAUUGGGACUGAGACACGGCCCAAACUCCUACGGGAGGCAGCAGUA